RNAcentral lists this ribosomal RNA (667 nucleotides) under Inocybe tjallingiorum. RNAcentral's name for it is "eukaryotic LSU rRNA". The stretch from base 242 to 395 matches the Rfam family "5.8S ribosomal RNA". Lineage: Eukaryota; Fungi; Basidiomycota; Agaricomycetes; Agaricales; Inocybaceae. The record is from RNAcentral.
UUGCACAGGCUGUUGCUGGCCCUCAAGGGUAUGUGCACGCUUGUCAUCUUUAUCUCUCCAACUGUGCACAUAUUGUAGACCUGGAGUCCCUGUUGAUUCAUUUCGAGUUGGGACUGCUGUGCUUUGUACUUCAGAGUCAGCUUUGCCUUUUUCAUACCCAGGUCUAUGUCAUUUUCACAACCUCUUGAAUGUGUUUAGAAUGUUGAAUCAGGUCUUUUUGUACCUAUAAAGUUAAAUAUACAACUUUCAGCAACGGAUCUCUUGGCUCUCGCAUCGAUGAAGAACGCAGCGAAAUGCGAUAAGUAAUGUGAAUUGCAGAAUUCAGUGAAUCAUCGAAUCUUUGAACGCAUCUUGCGCUCCUUGGUACUCCGAGGAGCAUGCCUGUUUGAGUGUCAUUUAAAUUCUCAACCACAUCAAUUUAUUUGGUGAGGCUUGGAUGUGGGGGUSUUUUUGCGGGCUUCUGUAAAUUUGAAGUCGGCUCCCCUAAAAUGCAUUAGUGGUAUCUGAGCAGAAGAAACUACUACAGGUGUGAUAAUUAUCUACGCCUCAGGAUYCUGCACAAUCAGAUUGUGCUGCUUCUAACGAGUGGAGAUUCCUUUUGGGGGACCACAUUUGUUGAAUUUGACCUCAAAUCAGGUAGGACUACCCGCUGAACUUAAGCAUAUCA